AACGAACGCUGGCGGCACGCCUAACACAUGCAAGUCGAACGGAUUAUAGGCUUCGGUCUAUAAUGAGUGGCAAACGGGUGAGUAACGCGUGGGAAUCUACCCUUCUGUGGGGAAUAACUUCGGGAAACUGAAGCUAAUACCGCAUACGUCCGAAAGGAGAAAGGCUUCGGUCGCAGAAGGAAGAGCCCGCGUUGGAUUAGAUAGUUGGUGGGGUAAUGGCCUACCAAGUCUACGAUCUAUAGCUGGUCUGAGAGGAUGGCCAGCCACACUGGGACUGAGACACGGCCCAGACUCCUACGGGAGGCAGCAGUGGGGGAAUCUUGGACAAUGGGGGAAACCCUGAUCCAGCGAUGCCGCGUGAGUGAUGAAGGCCUUCGGGUUGUAAAGCUCUUUCAGUGGGGAAGAUAAUGACGGUACCCACAGAAGAAGGACC
Molecule: ribosomal RNA, 433 nt
Filed under: uncultured bacterium
Lineage: Bacteria
Description: bacterial SSU rRNA
Rfam family: Bacterial small subunit ribosomal RNA
Source: RNAcentral